GAUUAUUAUUAUAUUAUUCUUAUUGUUAUUUCUAAUUUAGCAAUAUGACUUCAACAAAUGAUAAUAUGGAUGGAGAGAAUUUUAAGUAGACCAACGAAUAC
Molecule: long non-coding RNA, 101 nt
Organism: Ipomoea nil (Japanese morning glory)
Lineage: Eukaryota; Viridiplantae; Streptophyta; Magnoliopsida; Solanales; Convolvulaceae
Exons: 3
Source: RefSeq, a predicted model, not a curated record